This 468-nucleotide ribosomal RNA is filed under the name uncultured bacterium. RNAcentral describes it as "partial 16S ribosomal RNA". It matches the Rfam family "Bacterial small subunit ribosomal RNA", at positions 28 to 507 of the family's 1533-position model. The record is from RNAcentral.
GACGAACGCUGGCGGCGUGCUUAACACAUGCAAGUCGAACGGAAAGGCCCUGCUUUUGUGGGUUGCUCGUUUGGCGAACAGGGGAGUAACACGUGAGUAACCUGCCCUUGACUUUGGGAUAACUUCUGGAAACUGGGGCUAAUACCGGAUAGGAUCUCCUGCUGCAUGUUGGGGGUUGGAAAGUUUCGGCGGUUGGGGCUGGACUCGCGGCUUAUCAGCUUAUUUGUGGGGUAGUGGCUUACCAAGGCUUUGACGGGUAGCCCGCCUGGGAGGGUGACCGGCGACAUUGGGACUGAGAUACGGCCCAGACGCGUACGGGAGGCAGCAGUGGGGAAUAUUGCACAGUGGGCGGAAGCCAGAUGCAGCAGCGCCGCGUGCGGGAUGCCGGCCUUCGGGUUGUAAACCGCUUUCGCCUGUGACGAAGCGUGAGUGACGGUAAUGGGUAAGGAAGCACCGGCUAACUACGUG